RNAcentral lists this ribosomal RNA (484 nucleotides) under uncultured bacterium. RNAcentral describes it as "partial 16S ribosomal RNA". It matches the Rfam family "Bacterial small subunit ribosomal RNA", at positions 30 to 507 of the family's 1533-position model. The record is from RNAcentral.
AUUGAACGCUGGCGGCAGGCCUAACACAUGCAAGUCGAGCGGACGAAGGAAGCUUGCUCCUGGAUUCAGCUGCGGACGGGUGAGUAAUUCCCAGGAAUCUGCCCGGUAUAUGGGGCUAACGUCAGUUCACGGGCGCUAAUAUCGUAUACGUCAAUAGGUAGAAAGUGGUGGUUCUUUGGACAUCACCCUUUCAGCUGUCACUUGGUCGUAUUAGCUAGUUGGUUAGGUAAAGGCCUACCAAGGCGACGAUCCGUAACAGACCUGAGAGGGUGAUCAGACACACUGGAACUGAGACACGGUCCAGACUCCUACGGGAGGCAGCAGUAGGGAAUAUUCGGCAAUGGGCGAAAGCCUGAUGGAGCAAUGCCGCGUGUGUGAAGAAGGUCUUCGGAUUGUAAAGCACUGUUAUUUGGGAGGAACAAAAGUAAAUUUAACUCUUCCUGUUUUGACGUUACCAAAACAAAAAGCACCGGCUAACUUCGUG